This 496-nucleotide ribosomal RNA is filed under the name uncultured bacterium. RNAcentral's name for it is "partial 16S ribosomal RNA". It matches the Rfam family "Bacterial small subunit ribosomal RNA", at positions 29 to 507 of the family's 1533-position model. The record is from RNAcentral.
AUGAACGCUGGCGGCGUGCCUAAUACAUGCAAGUCGAGCGAACGGACGAGAAGCUUGCUUCUCUGAUGUUAGCGGCGGACGGGUGAGUAACACGUGGAUAACCUACCUAUAAGACUGGGAUAACUUCGGGAAACCGGAGCUAAUACCGGAUAAUAUUUUGAACCGCAUGGUUCAAAAGUGAAAGACGGUCUUGCUGUCACUUAUAGAUGGAUCCGCGCUGCAUUAGCUAGUUGGUAAGGUAACGGCUUACCAAGGCAACGAUGCAUAGCCGACCUGAGAGGGUGAUCGGCCACACUGGAACUGAGACACGGUCCAGACUCCUACGGGAGGCAGCAGUAGGGAAUCUUCCGCAAUGGGCGAAAGCCUGACGGAGCAACGCCGCGUGAGUGAUGAAGGUCUUCGGAUCGUAAAACUCCGUUAUUAGGGAAGAACAUAUGUGUAAGUAACUGUGCACAUCUUGACGGUACCUAAUCAGAAAGCCACGGCUAACUACGUG